GGGGCAGUAGCUCAGUGGGUAGAGACGGUCGUCGGUUCGACUCCGGCCUGCUCCACAA
Molecule: transfer RNA, 58 nt
Filed under: Bacteroides xylanisolvens XB1A
Lineage: Bacteria; Pseudomonadati; Bacteroidota; Bacteroidia; Bacteroidales; Bacteroidaceae
Rfam family: tRNA
About the family: Transfer RNA (tRNA) molecules are approximately 80 nucleotides in length. Their secondary structure includes four short double-helical elements and three loops (D, anti-codon, and T loops).
Source: RNAcentral